GGCAGGGCAACGGGAGGGCCGGGGGCCAAUGAGGAGAUCGGCGCGGCGGCGGCGGCCGCCUGUGAAAGUGCCGAGCCGGUGCGCUAGGGGCAGGGGGAAGAUGAGAGAGGGAGAAAGCAUGGAUAACAAAACCUUCCCCUGAGAGAGCUUCGCUUUAUAACACCCCCUUCCACUCCUGUCAAGGCAUUGCUUAGAAUUUUUUAUUCCACAAAGGAUGUGAGAGCUUUACUUUGUAUCCUGAAACACAACAGAGCAUUUUUUUUUUUUUCAUGGGAUGAAAAUUCCAGUAUUUGGCCAGCCUGAAUCAAAACUUCUGGAAACUUGGGGCCAAACCUUUGGCUCGUACAAACUGGCUUGCUCCAUUGUGUUUAGUCCACAGAGGAACUGGCCCUGGUUUAAUUAAUGGUUCACCCGAGGUCGUGCAGGGAGUUGAUUUUUAAAGCCGGGAGCUGAAUCCAGAGCUGUUAUUAUUCAGUCUUGUCAUAUAUCUUGAAGUUUUACUGCACAACGUUGUAUUUUUCUUCGACGAGCUGGAUUAAUGAGAGCCAGAAUCCACGAGACUGUGAUUGCAACUCUUCUUAAAAAUCACGCUCUGAAAAUCUAUUCAAUUGCCAUCUUACUAGAAAAGAGAGUAAAUAUGUUGUAAUUAGUGCAUAGGUGACACUGACUACCGAGGGAGAGAGAGGCCCGAAAAACUGCUUUUGUUAUUUAAACCUUUCUUUCAAAGUACAAAAGCAUUUGAUUGGCACUUCACUGAUUUAAUAGUCCAUUUGUAAUGCAGGAAGAACAUUACAGAAGAUUUUAGCAUUAUUUUAAAUCUCAUCAUUUAAUCUGUAGGUGUUUUUAAAAAAAAAAUCCUCAUUUCUAGCUGAAGAAAAGUUUUUGAUAGUUGUGUAGAUUCUGUGACUAGUCACUUGUUAGAGGUACGCAAGUCUUACGUUUUCCUAAAUAAAAUGCUUUAUGGGCUUAAAGUAGAACUGAGCUUGUUUGCUGCGUUAGCAUAUGAAGAAUCCUUCUGGCCCAGGGGUUUGUGGCUGCUGUUGCUACACUGUAGCGUUAGGAAUGGGUUCCUGAUUCCCUUACUUAAAAAAUCAGGGAGCUUCCAGCACUUCACCCCAACUAGAGAGCAGACCAGAUCCUUUGCAGCAGUUGUACCACAUGUACAAAGUACCUGCUAGUUCAUCCAGUAUUCUGAAUUUGCAGAGGCAGUAUUCCAGCUGUAGUUGCAUAAAUAUGCUUUGUCAAGUUUGCCUUUUUUUUUUUUUCCCCUUCUGAUUUACACAUGGGGAAGAUACAAAGGAAACAAAUCCAGAUUCCCUCCCUUUGUUUCUAUUUGAGAGUGGAAAAGAAGACUUCAUAAAGCACACGAGGGCUCGUCUUUGCCUUCCAAAUGUUUAAGGGGUGACUUCAUGGCUCAAAUAUUAUAUGCUAGAAGGACCCUGAGUUAAACAGCAGUGAAAUGACUUGCCAAUGUCAAAGAGCAGUCAGUGACAGCGUUGUUACAGAGCCUCUGCCUCCCAGGCCACAGCUGCACCUAUUGGCUUCAUUGUCCCAUCCCUCCUACGCACAUACAUGCCUGGCGUUGUUUUGGAAAUACAGCAGAAACUUGAUAAUUCAAACUGAUGACUGGGGGAGCCACUUGUGGAAUUAAUUUAUUGGGUAAAUUAGUGACUACAUGUGCAAGCAAUUUGUAAUUUUUUUUUUUUUUUUUAAGAGAUGCUGUGUCAUAGUGUAUGAUUUGUUCAGUUACUUCAAACAGUCUGGUUUAAUUGUCACUGCAUUAAUUUGGUAUCCUGAAACAGUUUUUGCUCAGUAUUUUAAUAGUGAAGUGUUAAAAGAUCUCCGCAUAGUUCUACCCUUGUUUUUUAAAUCUUUGAGGAGAAUUGGGUUUUCAGUUCUUCAACAGGAGGUUAUAAUUUGGGAUUAGAAAUUAAUCCGUAGCACCUAUUUUACGGUGUGGGAUUUAUGACAUGCCUCAGAGGUUAAACCAUAGCCCCAGUAUACUGAUCUGUGCUGUAGGCUGAUUUGAUUUCAGCAGGACUGCCUGACUAAGACAAAUAGGAUUUGAUCCUUGCUGGGUAACUUUGGUCGGAUUCCAGGUGGCCCUUCAGACUUACGAUUUCCAUCUCAGUAUUCGAAAAUAGAUGUGUUCUUUUUUGUUUAUUUUUCACAGGACCCCGGUAUUGUUCAGUAUAGUUUGUCAUGUGAGGCUGUAAAUCCCUUCAAGCGAGGUGGGAUUUUAGAUUUACAAACUGUUCCUAAGUGAUUACACACGUACUGCGAAGGAAAAGGCUGUCCUCUAGCCAAGUGAGGGCAGAACUCAGGAUGCUUAACUCAUUAAGAUUCCACAGCAACCGGAAUUACUAAUAUGGAAUAUGCUACAGAGAAAAAUAACUAUUGUUUUAUUUCUUUAAAGUACCACAUUAGUGUUAAAUAAGCAAAAUGCAUACGCAAUUUCAUGUAUAGUAGCCCAAGUGAACUUAGCAGCCUCUCUGAAGCAGCGGGCUAUUGCAGAAAGCCUGCACCAGUCAUUACGGUAUUAAGAACAAAACAAAAACAAUACGGUGCCUCAAACUGGCAGCUUUUUGUAAACUUUAUGUGUUUACCCUUCCGUAGUCACACUGACCCUUGCUCUUAGAUUUCAGAGCAACACAAACAAAACCGAAUCAAUUUCUUUAAUUUUGACGAGCAGUAAAUACUGUGAUGUGAUGAAUCAUUGCGCGAUCGUGAAGCAAAAAAAAAAAAGGAGUUGUUGACAGGAUUUCACAGCCAGAGGUGAUUUUGGAACGUUGGAGUUGCUCUGUGAAGUCCCACACCUUGUGGCCUGAGUAGGACUCUCCAAAAAGAAUCAGGAUGUGGGCCGUGCUGUUCCGAUCGAUAUCACCGAAUACCAGAUUCUACUCUGGCUUUUACACGCACUCACAAAAGGUGGCCCAAGAAAUAAGAAAAUAUAACCAUCUGUAAUCCAAUUUUCUCAUUGAGGACAGUUCUGAGUCCGAUUCUUUUGCUGUUUAUUCAAAUAAAAAAAUAUUUCUUCAGAUUUUCCUUUUUCUUUUUAAUAAAUAAGGCAUGGGAUCCAACUCAAUUGUUGCUUCUUCGAUUUUCAUGAAAGCAUGCUGGAGACUGAGUACUUUGUUACUGAUUUUGGUUUCUGGCUUAAGACGUGGGACCCCGAGGCUCUCUGCUCUGCCACAAAUAGCAUAUUUGACUUUAGGGAAAAUUGCUCUUUGUUUUCCAUCUGUGUCACAGGAAUAAUAUUCGUGUGCUGUCAUUACAAAUACUUGUGAAGGUAUACACUCGGAGAAUUCUGAAAUGAUGUUGUUAUGGUUAUAUAUAAUAUCACAAGUAAUAAUUUCAGAUACUAGGUGCCAAUUAUUCCGUUGGCUAUUUGGUUUGACGGUAAAUGC
RNAcentral lists this long non-coding RNA (3407 nucleotides) under Gallus gallus (chicken). Lineage: Eukaryota; Metazoa; Chordata; Aves; Galliformes; Phasianidae. The record is from RNAcentral.